This 481-nucleotide ribosomal RNA is filed under the name uncultured bacterium. RNAcentral's name for it is "partial 16S ribosomal RNA". It matches the Rfam family "Bacterial small subunit ribosomal RNA", at positions 28 to 507 of the family's 1533-position model. The record is from RNAcentral.
GAUGAACGCUGGCGGCGUGCUUAACACAUGCAAGUCGAACGAAGCACUUUAUUUGAUUUCCUUCGGGACUGAUUAUUUUGUGACUGAGUGGCGGACGGGUGAGUAACGCGUGGGUAACCUGCCUUGUACAGGGGGAUAACAGUUGGAAACGGCUGCUAAUACCGCAUAAGCGCACAGCAUCGCAUGAUGCAGUGUGAAAAACUCCGGUGGUAUAAGAUGGACCCGCGUUGGAUUAGCUAGUUGGUGAGGUAACGGCCCACCAAGGCGACGAUCCAUAGCCGACCUGAGAGGGUGACCGGCCACAUUGGGACUGAGACACGGCCCAAACUCCUACGGGAGGCAGCAGUGGGAAAUAUUGCACAAUGGGCGAAAGCCUGAUGCAGCGACGCCGCGUGAGCGAAGAAGUAUUUCGGUAUGUAAAGCUCUAUCAGCAGGGAAGAUAAUGACGGUACCUGACUAAGAAGCACCGGCUAAAUACGUG